Molecule: ribosomal RNA, 253 nt
Filed under: uncultured bacterium
Lineage: Bacteria
Description: partial 16S ribosomal RNA
Rfam family: Bacterial small subunit ribosomal RNA
Source: RNAcentral
UACGAAGGGGGCUAGCGUUGCUCGGAAUCACUGGGCGUAAAGGGUGCGUAGGCGGGUCUUUAAGUCAGGGGUAAAAUCCUGGAGCUCAACUCCAGAACUGCCUUUGAUACUGAAGAUCUUGAGUUCGGGAGAGGUGAGUGGAACUGCGAGUGUAGAGGUGAAAUUCGUAGAUAUUCGCAAGAACACCAGUGGCGAAGGCGGCUCACUGGCCCGGUACUGACGCUGAGGUGCGAAAGCGUGGGGAGCAAACAGG